UACGUAGGGGGCAAGCGUUGUUCGGAAUUACUGGGCGUAAAGCGUACGUAGGCGGAUCAGAAAAUAUAGGGUGAAAUCCCAGGGCUCAACCCUGGAACUGCCUUAUAAACUCCUGGUCUUGAGCUCGAGAGAGGUGAGUGGAAUUCCAAGUGUAGAGGUGAAAUUCGUAGAUAUUCGGAGGAACACCAGUGGCGAAGGCGGCUCACUGGCUCGAUACUGACGCUGAGGUGCGAAAGCGUGGGGAGCAAACAGG
This 253-nucleotide unclassified non-coding RNA is filed under the name uncultured Rhodobacterales bacterium. Its description in RNAcentral is "contains 16S-23S intergenic spacer region". It matches the Rfam family "Bacterial small subunit ribosomal RNA", at positions 524 to 776 of the family's 1533-position model. Lineage: Bacteria; Pseudomonadati; Pseudomonadota; Alphaproteobacteria; Rhodobacterales. The record is from RNAcentral.